GUAGUGGCAGAAGUUCGCUUUUCCUUAUAUGACUACAGCCCCUUACCACCUUGUUUGUGUCAUCUGUAUCUUUAAAGGGAGAGUUUCUGUCCUCUCCUUCGAUGACUUCAUUUCUGUUUUUGCUGUUUUGAAGUAGAUAAUAUCACCUGCGUGCUUUUAAAGAUGAGGCAACAGGGCCAAGAGAAAUUCAGCACCUGCCCUCCAUUUCAAGCUGCCACAAAGUAAACAGCUUCUUCUCCUGCGUGCUCCCAACAUGGCAUGCUGCUGGGCUGUGUGCAUCUCAAAGGCAGUAGGCCAACAGGCCAUGGACUGGACCAUCUGAAACCAUUAGCUAAAGUAGAUCUUCCUUCCUUGUCCGUUGUUGAUUUCAUAUAUUUUGUCACAGUGAUGGAAAGUUGACUAAUACACCAAGAUUAAUUCUCCAAUAAAGACAAACUCUGUGAUUUCCUGAGUGAGUGAGAAAAACAAGAAGAGUGAGUUAUAGAGUGUAUCCCAAGGUGGGGCCGAGUGCUGCGGUAUUCUGCACACCUUCUUCCCAUGAGGGUGUGACGGGAGGAAUGAUGCUCCCCCUACAAGCCCCGCUAUGAAUAGCACCUGAAAUGGCAAAAGGUCUGCUGAAUAUCACUUGAGAAAAUCAGGACUGGCCUCUGCAUAUUUUAGAAUCAAGCCAGGAAGAGGACUGAGAGCAACUGAGCCGUCGGCUAGUGAGAUCAGGACAAGGUGAGCUCCGUGGAGGCUGCCUCUGGGAAGACGCAAGCUGAGUGUUUGCUGCCCAGGCCUUCUGUUUCCGUGGAAAGACAGUUUGCUUUGGGCUCAUGCACUUUCCCACCAUGUCGGCCUUCCUCAGAGUCACAGUGGGCCACCUGUGCAGAGAUCACUGUUAAAAAGAGCCGUUCUGGCUGCUGGUUAGGAGUGAAAACCCUAGCAGUGGUGGACACAUAGUUCCCAUCCCACGUCCAACUGGGGAGCGACCUGAUGGCUCAUCUUCUCCCUUAACUCUUCCUGAAGCAGAGGACGUGAUGGACAUUGCAAUUAGCAUGGCACCCUCCCACCCCAGGCGAUUACGAUCAGAUGUCCUUUCUCUUAAAGACAUAACCUUUGCAACAAGAGAGCUAAACAUCGGAUGUGUGGCAGGGAUUAAAUCUCUAUGCUAGAAGAAUGAUUUAUGCUCCCAUAAAGCCAAACAAAACCCAAUUUGGUAAGAUGAGACCACCAGAAAUUAUGUUCAUGGUGAAAAACAGAAGAGAACUAAUUACCCCAGUGCAGUGUUCCAUGUAGGUAUAAUUCUACAGUCAAUUAGUAUUCUGUUUAAUUGUACAAUUAAUGAACAUAUAAAUUAAAUUCAUAGUU
Long non-coding RNA from Chinchilla lanigera (long-tailed chinchilla), 1350 nucleotides. RefSeq lists it as uncharacterized. NCBI's taxonomy places the organism in Eukaryota, Metazoa, Chordata, Mammalia, Rodentia, Chinchillidae. The record is from RefSeq and is a predicted model, not a curated record. The transcript is spliced from 5 exons.